This is a long non-coding RNA of Rosa rugosa (rugosa rose), 716 nucleotides long. RefSeq lists it as uncharacterized. The transcript has 2 exons. NCBI's taxonomy places the organism in Eukaryota, Viridiplantae, Streptophyta, Magnoliopsida, Rosales, Rosaceae. The record is from RefSeq and is a predicted model, not a curated record.
CCUAGUCAAGGCUCAACUUACUCUCCAGAGCGUCUUAGCUUAGAGCCUUAGAGUCAUAUCCGCCGCUCAGUAGCAGACUAGCUUCGUCCGGACCGGCAGCCAUGAACUCGCACAGAUUAGGCCACUUUCUUCUUCUCUAUUCCAGUUCCCCACUCUCGUCCAUAAGCCUAAUCCACCAAACCUCAGCCGCCUUCCUCCAAAUUCCAAAACAUCCCUAAACUCGAUUCCGAUUCAGGAACUUGAGCAAAUCGAUUUGGUCAUAUCAAUUGCUCAGCCAAAUUCAGCAAUGCCGUCGAGGAGAGGAGUCGAUUGCUCGCACCAGCUUCUCGAGUUUUUGAUACCAUGUCGGACUCUCUGUUUGACCAGCGCCACCAUCGACGGUAACGAACCUACCACUUUCUUCACAAUCGAGCUUGCACCUUGAAGGAGGGCUUCGAUCCGGACAACAACUGAAUAUGCAUGUAUAUAUAUGUGUCCAGUUGGUUCCUUAUUUGGUUGCCAUGAAAAAGCCUAUUUCUCCUCUUGAUCAAACACUGCUAACUGCUUCAGUUUUUGUAGCCUUAGUGGCUUAGUGCCUCAGUCACUCGGUGUAAUUUCAAUUUCAAUUAUAGGACUUGAUCAGUGAGAAUAUGAGUUUAAGUUUAAGUGGGAUUUGUCAUUAUUUCUAAUUAUCUCAGGUUCUGAAAUCUCAAAGACUCAAGGUAUUCAGUCUUUUU